Molecule: ribosomal RNA, 492 nt
Filed under: uncultured bacterium
Lineage: Bacteria
Description: partial 16S ribosomal RNA
Rfam family: Bacterial small subunit ribosomal RNA
Source: RNAcentral
AGUGAACGCUGGCGGUAGGCCUAACACAUGCAAGUCGAACGGCAGCACAGUAAGAGCUUGCUCUUACGGGUGGCGAGUGGCGGACGGGUGAGGAAUACAUCGGAAUCUACUUUUUCGUGGGGGAUAACGUAGGGAAACUUACGCUAAUACCGCAUACGACCUACGGGUGAAAGCAGUGGAUCUUCGGACCUUGCGCGAUUGAAUGAGCCGAUGUCGGAUUAGCUAGUUGGCGGGGUAAAGGCCCACCAAGGCGACGAUCCGUAGCUGGUCUGAGAGGAUGAUCAGCCACACUGGAACUGAGACACGGUCCAGACUCCUACGGGAGGCAGCAGUGGGGAAUAUUGGACAAUGGGCGCAAGCCUGAUCCAGCCAUACCGCGUGGGUGAAGAAGGCCUUCGGGUUGUAAAGCCCUUUUGUUGGGAAGGAAAAGCAGCAGGUUAAUACCCCGCUGUUCUGACGGUACCCAAAGAAUAAGCACCGGCUAACUUCGUG